Triticum urartu is the source of this 145-nucleotide non-coding RNA. The record is from RefSeq and is a predicted model, not a curated record. Lineage: Eukaryota; Viridiplantae; Streptophyta; Magnoliopsida; Poales; Poaceae.
UGCCAUGGUUUUGAUAUCCGUCCCCGUCGGCCCUAGUCCUUGUUAUGAUUCGGAUGUGGAGGUAUCUGAACCUGAAAUUCCAACCAACCCUAUUGCUGAGAGGUUAAAUUUAGUUGAAAGAGAAAACGAGUACUUGAAAGAAAAA